Molecule: ribosomal RNA, 815 nt
Filed under: uncultured bacterium
Lineage: Bacteria
Description: bacterial SSU rRNA
Rfam family: Bacterial small subunit ribosomal RNA
Source: RNAcentral
AGAGUUUGAUCCUGGCUCAGAACGAACGCUGGCGGCGUGGAUAAGACAUGCAAGUCGAGCGCUGAUUACAGGGUAGCAAUAUUCUGUGGUCGGAGCGGCGCAAGGGUGCGUAACACGUGGGCAAUCUGCCGUGAAGUCGGGGACAACUUGCUGAAAGGCGAGCUAAUACCGGAUACGAAGCUUGGGAGGCAUCUCCUGAUUUUCAAAGUUGGGGACCGUAAGGCCUGACGCUUCAUGAUGAGCCCGCGGCCUAUCAGCUAGUUGGUGAGGUAACGGCCCACCAAGGCUAAGACGGGUAGCUGGUCUGAGAGGACGACCAGCCACACUGGAACUGAGACACGGUCCAGACACCUACGGGUGGCAGCAGUCGAGAAUUUUUCACAAUGGGCGAAAGCCUGAUGGAGCGACGCCGCGUGGGGGAUGAAUGGCUUCGGCCCGUAAACCCCUGUCAUUUGCGAUCAAACCUCAUUAUUUAAAAGAUGAUGAGCUGAUAGUAGCGAAAGAGGAAGGGACGGCUAACUCUGUGCCAGCAGCCGCGGUAAUACAGAGGUCCCAAGCGUUGUUCGGAUUCACUGGGCGUAAAGGGUGCGUAGGUGGCGAGGUAAGUCGGAUGUGAAAGCUCGGAGCUCAACUCCGAAAUGGCAUUGGAAACUACCUUGCUCGAGGGUUGGAGGGGGGACUGGAAUUCUCGGUGUAGCAGUGAAAUGCGUAGAUAUCGAGAGGAACACCAGUGGCGAAGGCGAGCCCCUGGACAACUCCUGACACUGAGGCACGAAAGCUAGGGGAGCAAACAGGAUUAGAUACCCCCGUAGUCC